CUGUUUCUGAGCUCCUGCCCCCAAACAUGAGCUUCCAAACAAAGGUUUCCUAAGGAUUUUUAUAUCUGAGUGAAAAACAAACAUAUUUUUUUCUGCCUUUCUCCUUUCCCNCCUUUCUCCUUUCCCGCCCCCCCCCCCCCCCCCCUCCCCUGCCCAGGUGUGGACUGUAGAAUUCACCUGAGAGCUCCUUCAGUUAGCAUUUAACAGAACCUGCAGCAGUUGAGAGCAAGGUCAUCCUGCAUGUAGGCAGUGUAAAGAGCUUCAGCAGUAAGUGAUAACACCUCUUUCUGCCACGUGUAGGUGUGGGUAUACAUGCAGACCUGUGGACUGAUUUUUGGCAUAGGUCCUUUGACAAAUAGUAUUUAUCUGAGACCAGACCUCCAUCCAAAGAAAGUUUCUAAGCUUCUGGGAUGUGAUUGGGAAUGAUGCUUUGAACUGGGAUAUGGUGAUGAUGUGUGAAAGGAGGCUCACUGCUGGUCCACUGGCCAGGGACAAAAUGACCUCAGAAUGGACGUACUGUCAUCAUUCUAGCUUCUGUGAGUACUGUGAGAAAGGCUAACUCCUGGAGCCAGCACUAGGGAGGGAUGGAGCACCAUUGGUACAAGGCACAUAAGGAACUUGGCUGCAAAUCCAAAAGGACCUGAGAGUAGAAAGUAGGACAGUCCAGUGUGUGCAAACUGUGGGCUCCAAGGAGAAUCAUACACCUGCCCAUGUUGACUUCCUUGUCCCCACACCUCCCUCAGCUUUGACCUGCAGCUUUUCAACUGCAACUCUUCUGCUUUGCUGGGGUUUACAGAGAAUUAACUUGCUUACUCCCCACUUCCUCAACUCUUCAUUGCACAGACUUCCCAUGCAGAAAAGGCAGAGGUCUGUGGAAGACAUCCUUGGAGAUGUCAGCCUGAAAAGCAAACUGGAUUUUGGAAGAAAGAAUAAAAAAGGAAAAUUUAAGUAGUUAUAUCCUCUACAGUGCUGUGCAGAUUCCCUGUUGACUUUGGGAGUUCAGGCUUAAGAAAUCAGGUUGUUUAACCAGAUGUCAAGGAUGGACGGAUGACUUCAAAUGUCUUAAUACUGCAGUGCCUAAAAUGGCUGUAAAAGGGAAUAGGAGAGAUUAGAUAUAGCACUGAAUGGAAAUCAAACAGCUUUGACAUGUCUUUGGGCACCUGACAUGGGAGCAGCUGAAACCUCUAAUUACCUGGAAUUUUGGCUUCACUUGGGGAGCUGAGCACCACGCUUUCAUUUAAAAUAAAGGAGAGUU
Molecule: long non-coding RNA, 1255 nt
Filed under: Coturnix japonica (Japanese quail)
Lineage: Eukaryota; Metazoa; Chordata; Aves; Galliformes; Phasianidae
Description: lncRNA (ENSCJPG00005003083.1)
Source: RNAcentral